UAGAGUUUGAUCCUGGCUCAGGGUGAAGUCGUAAUAAGGUAACCGAAAGUCGUAACAAGGUAACCGUAAGUCGUAACAAGGUAGCCGUAGAGUUUGAUCCUGGGUCAGCCUUUGACUUAAAAAAAUGGAGAAGUCGUAACAAGGUAACCGUAAGUCGUAACGAGGUAA
This 168-nucleotide ribosomal RNA is filed under the name uncultured bacterium. RNAcentral describes it as "partial 16S ribosomal RNA". The record is from RNAcentral.